GGAGCAUCCCCCAAAAGGAUCAGUCAUUCACAAGCAGCGAUGGGGAGAAGUUCACCACUUUAUCAUCAACUGUUGCUGGCAGCAACAUGUUCACUCAUGACCGCAGUUGUCUCCACAGAGAGAGCUACCACCUGUGGCAGCGACGGCAGGAAUGUCCAGCGCCUGAGCUGUGAUGAAGGGCAGGUUAUAUCUGUCUAUGGUGCUGAUUAUGGACGCCGCAACCAGAGCACAUGCACCUACACAGACACCUACUUCUGAGAUCCAAAAAAACGUUUCUGACAGAUCCUUCCAUCACUCCAGAGUAGGCUAAAUGUAGCCUAAUGAAAUUACAAUAAGAUCACAAUAAACA
Long non-coding RNA from Perca flavescens (yellow perch), 349 nucleotides. RefSeq lists it as uncharacterized. The record is from RefSeq and is a predicted model, not a curated record. The transcript is spliced from 5 exons. Lineage: Eukaryota; Metazoa; Chordata; Actinopteri; Perciformes; Percidae.